This is a non-coding RNA of Megalopta genalis, 1971 nucleotides long. The record is from RefSeq and is a predicted model, not a curated record. Lineage: Eukaryota; Metazoa; Arthropoda; Insecta; Hymenoptera; Halictidae.
UAUCGUAUUUAAACAAAAUAUGAAGGAAAUAAGACAUAUACGGUAGAGUUACAGUAACUUGCGCAAUUCACAAAAAGAUUGCAAUAACUAAUUGGGUAAGAAAACGGAAAUGGAAAAGUUAGAUGUGAUCAUUCUCCUGCAUAUAAUAAAUCUUGGCAUAUUUUAGUCUGUUUGAAUACGUCAUCAUAACAAUUUCUUCUACGUUCUGAUCGUAGAAUAGUGUUGCGCUUAUACGAACAACGUGGUCGAUUCCAUCGUGUCAAUUAGUUGGACAAACUUGUGUAUACUUCGGUGCUUUUCAAUUCGAUCUUGGAAACAAUCGCUUUUUAUAGUACAUUAUCGUCGAAAACACAGCUUUUACCGCGCAAGUAACAAUACGGGAUGAAGUCGAAAUUUUGGAAAAUGUAGCCAUAGUAUCACGAACUUGUGUACCCGAUUUAAGCAAAUUCUUAUCCUGCCUCCAGUUGGAUUUUGCAUUGACAAUUUUAUUCCAUAAAGUUGACAUAAGCAACGCAAAAUUUGCACUACUCGAGUUUCAGAUUUAGAUACAUAUUUAUUUGUGUCCCUGAGAUAUUUUGUUUUCACAAUAUGUACACGAUUUGUCUAUUGAAACAAUAAAAUAUCUUCAAACAAUACAUUUACGUAUCAGAAAGCACCAGAAAAACAAUUUCCAAAAUCUACAUCGACUUCCAGGUUUGUCGCAUCGGAAACAAUAGUUACAUCGACAAACAGCCACAUCAAUCAUUUCGAAUCGAUGAAUCUUUGAAUUAUUAAUUUAUUCGACGCCGAAUAAAAUAGUCGAAUACCUUUUCAUUCGAGCAUUUAUCAUGUCUCUCAAUGACCGAAUCAUUUGUGAUUGCAAAAAUCGAGCCGGCAAUAAAAACUUAAACAGAGAUCAACGUUCGAAUAUUUGGAACAUCUCUUUCUCGUCUCGACGUUUCUCUCAGGCCGUUCGUUCUUCCGGCUUUCCGCAAGUCCAAGAGCAUGAAUCAAACUUCGGUUUGAAUGUCGCUAUAAUUACCAGACCGAGGAUAGGAACGCGGCGGCGGCGGCGGCGACGGCGGUGGCGGCCGUAUCUCGAACAGCGUACUAGAAUCGAUCGGAGGAAUUUCAUUUACAGAGAGAUACGCUCGGGUGUGCGCGCGCGAGUCGAAGUGAUUCCGCCGUUAACGACCGGGGAAAAAUACACAAAAAUCGGGACUGGCUCGCGCGAAUACACGCGCACCGCGUCGAAACAAAUUUAGGAAGCCGCAUUCCUCAUGCGGCACACGUGCUCGCCAAUUGAGCAACGCGCCGCGCCGAUGAUGGGGUCGAUCCACCGAUACGCAUUGGCGUCGAUAACGAGCGGUCCUUCGGUUUCGAGAAACGUUCGAACCGGGAUUCGAGUUCGGUGCCGUUCGGCACGCGUCAACAAGUGUCCGGUAGGAGCGUUGCAUAAUUAGAACACAAGUGGCGCGAUUCGAAACGCGCGCGUUAAGUACAAUGAUAGCCUGACGGCCCGGCGAUUUAUAAAAAUAGCGGAGGCGCCGCUUCGCGACAAGUCGCGUCGCCGCGACGAUGCGCCAUUUUUCCUUUCGCUGUUUUUCGCUCGAUUCUCCUCCCGAUGCUGGUAUUUCGGUGCGGAAAAUAUUUUUAUAUUCCGCCGGGGGAAUGUAAACAUUGUGCGAAUGCACUUUUUGGCGCGGCUCCAACGGUUGCGGGCUGAUUCAGUGCCGGGAGAUGCCUCGUCCAUCUUGUAUCUGUUACGCUUCCCGUAUCGUCCGAAAUUCCCCGCUUCCGUGCAUUUUCGACGCCUCGGCCUCCGUUCCCGAUACCUGGUCCGACGUGUAUUCGUGAGAAUAUUAAGAACACGCGCCGGCGAAAUGUCGAGAAGUGUUCUCGUGCCGAAAAUCUGGGCCGCUCUCUAAUCGGUCACCAACCAUACGAAUAUUAGAACAUUUAUUUGAACAAUAAACAAAUGUUCCAGAAGCA